Molecule: ribosomal RNA, 460 nt
Filed under: uncultured bacterium
Lineage: Bacteria
Description: partial 16S ribosomal RNA
Rfam family: Bacterial small subunit ribosomal RNA
Source: RNAcentral
CCUACGGGAGGCAGCAGUGAGGAAUAUUGGUCCAUGGGCGCGAGCCUGAACCAGCCAAGUAGCGUGAAGGAUGACUGCCCUACGGGUUGUAAACUUCUUUUAUAAAGGAAUAAAGUGAGGCACGUGUGCCUUUUUGUCUGUACUUUAUGAAUAAGGAUCGCGUAACUCCGUGCCAGCAGCCGCGUUAAUACGGAGGAUCCGAGCGUUAUCCUGAUUUAUUGUGUUUAAAGGGAGCGUAGAUGGGUUGUUAAGUCAGUUGGGAAAGUUUGCGGCUCAACCGUAAAAUUGCAAUUGAUACUGGCAGUCUUGAGUACAGUUGAGGUAGGCGGAAUUCGUGGUGUAGCGGUGAAAUGCUUAGAUAUCACGAAGAACUCCGAUUGCGAAGGCAGCUUACUAAACUGCCACUGACAUUGAUGCUCGAAAGUGUGGGUAUCAAACAGGAUUAGAUACCCCAGGAGUC